CUGNAACCCGCCUGCAUGAAGUCGGAAUUGCUAGUAAUCGCGGAUCAGCAUGCCGCGGUGAAUACGUUCCCGGGCCUUGUACACACCGCCCGUCACGCCAUGGGAGCCGGUAAUACCCGAAGUCAGUAGUCCAACCUCGUGAGGACGCUGCCGAAGGUAGGAUUGGCGACUGGGGUGAAGUCGUAACAAGGUAUC
Molecule: ribosomal RNA, 195 nt
Filed under: uncultured bacterium
Lineage: Bacteria
Description: partial 16S ribosomal RNA
Rfam family: Bacterial small subunit ribosomal RNA
Source: RNAcentral